ACUCUUACGCGAGGCAGCAGUGGGGAAUAUUGGACAAUGGGGGAAACCAUGAUCCCGCAAUGCCGCGUGAGUGAUGAAGGCCUUAGGGUUGUAAAGCUCUUUUACACAGGGAUGAUAAUGACAGUACCUGAGA
Molecule: ribosomal RNA, 133 nt
Filed under: uncultured Erythrobacter sp.
Lineage: Bacteria; Pseudomonadati; Pseudomonadota; Alphaproteobacteria; Sphingomonadales; Erythrobacteraceae
Description: partial 16S ribosomal RNA
Rfam family: Bacterial small subunit ribosomal RNA
Source: RNAcentral